Molecule: ribosomal RNA, 116 nt
Filed under: Candidatus Anoxymicrobium japonicum
Lineage: Bacteria; Bacillati; Actinomycetota; Candidatus Geothermincolia; Candidatus Geothermincolales; Candidatus Anoxymicrobiaceae
Source: RNAcentral
AACGGUGGCGAUGGCGGAGGGGAUCACCUGUUCCCAUUCCGAACACAGAAGUUAAGUCCUCCAGCGCCGAUGGUACUGCAGGGGUAACCUUGUGGGAGAGUAGGUCGCCGCCGAUU